This is a long non-coding RNA of Hippopotamus amphibius kiboko, 436 nucleotides long. RefSeq lists it as uncharacterized. The record is from RefSeq and is a predicted model, not a curated record. The transcript is spliced from 4 exons. Lineage: Eukaryota; Metazoa; Chordata; Mammalia; Artiodactyla; Hippopotamidae.
AGCGCUGGGUUGGGUGGAAAGUUUGUCUGGAGAACUCCCACGGCUCUGGCCUCCCCUCCCCCUCCCUGCUUGCUGCCUCCCAGCGAGCAGGAGAAGGCUGGUUAGCAGAGAAAUGGCAACUCGGCCGGGAGCUGGAACUAGAAACUUUCUGUCAGUGUAACAGCCGCGUGGGUGGUGACCCAAUGGUGGUUGGGCUUCGGGUCACGUGACGACUUCUUUGUCGCUCCGGAAGAGAAUUGUGAAGUUUAGGAGAAUUGCCAGGAAAAAAAAAAAAAUCAAGAUUUGGGGGAAUUACCCACGUAGACAGAAGGUGUGUUAACUUGGGCGCUUCUUGGAUUCUACCCUGAGGAGGAGGCGCAUGGUGAGAGGAGAGGUCUGUGUAAGUGGGGUGGGGGUCGCAGGGUCCGUGGUGCUGGCUCGGGGCCAUAGGGGGCGC